GGAUUGUUAAACUUUUCUUUUUCUUGAAUUCCCCAGAAUCAUUGCAUCCCUGCCCUGUGCUGUCUUCCCAUUAUGACGUUUCUUUCUGCUAUCGAAGAGAGCUGACUGCACCAGAUUAUGCAGAGAAUAAAUAGGCCCCCAGACUUCCCUGGAGUGGUCCACGGGGCAAUGCUAUUCAGAAACACUGGCUGAUUGUAACAAUUGUGGCCUCUUCUCCUACAACAGUGAUGCUCUUAGCUGCUCAUGUUUCUCAAGACAACAAUGUUGACUUUGGAACCUGUGAUCUCUCUGGUCACAUACUACACUACAGACCAGCCACCUGAACUUGGAAGCACAGCUGAACUGGAAGAAAACUGCUGGAGACUUUGCUUAUUUCAUAGUAUAUAUAAUGAAUAGG
RNAcentral lists this long non-coding RNA (397 nucleotides) under Homo sapiens (human). RNAcentral describes it as "HSALNT0089925". The record is from RNAcentral. Lineage: Eukaryota; Metazoa; Chordata; Mammalia; Primates; Hominidae.